This 274-nucleotide ribosomal RNA is filed under the name uncultured bacterium. RNAcentral describes it as "partial 16S ribosomal RNA". It matches the Rfam family "Bacterial small subunit ribosomal RNA", at positions 523 to 796 of the family's 1533-position model. The record is from RNAcentral.
AUACGGAGGGUUCGAGCGUUAAUCGGAAUCACUGGGCAUAAAGCGCGUGUAGGCGGCUACUUAAGUCUGGUGUGAAAGCCCGGGGCUCACCCCCGGAAGUGCAUUGGAAACUGGGUGGCUAGAGUACCGGAGAGGAAAGCGGAAUUCCUGGUGUAGCGGUGAAAUGCGUAGAUAUCAGGAGGAACACCAGUGGCGAAGGCGGCUUUCUGGACGGAUACUGACGCUGAGACGCGAAAGCGUGGGGAGCAAACAGGAUUAGAAACCCGAGUAGUCC